RNA transcript from Sarcophilus harrisii (Tasmanian devil), 3456 nucleotides. It is a transcript of the gene named scaffold attachment factor B2, with no coding region annotated. NCBI's taxonomy places the organism in Eukaryota, Metazoa, Chordata, Mammalia, Dasyuromorphia, Dasyuridae. The transcript is spliced from 19 exons. The record is from RefSeq and is a predicted model, not a curated record.
GCAUGCGUAACCGGAAAAGAGGCAGGCUAGUGCGUUUUCCUCGCAAACGGCGCCAUUUUGUGUUCGGAACUGCCGCAGCGACUGCUGUGUGUGAAGUGGGUAGCGAAGACAGGGCACCCAGGAUGGCAGAGGCUCUGUCAGGAGCAGGCGAUUCGGGAUCUGGCUCGGCGGGUCUCGGCUCCGCCUCUUCGGAGACCGGGACCCGGCGGCUAAGCGAUCUGCGGGUGAUUGACCUCCGGGCCGAGCUGAAGAAGCGGAACCUGGAUACUGGCGGCAAUAAGAGCGUCCUGAUGGACCGACUCAGGAAGGCAAUUGAGGAAGAAGGGGGCGAUCCUGAUGAAAUUGCGAUUGCAUCAGAAGCUACCAGCAAGAAGAUUCCAAAGAGGUAUAUCAAAGGGCGUAAGCCAGAGGAAGAGGGUGCUGAAGAUAAUGGACUAGAGGAAGAUUCUGGAGAUGGACAGGAGGACAAUGAAACAAGUUUGGAUAACUUGCAGGAUAUAGACAUGAUGGAUAUUAGUGUGUUAGAUGAGACUGAAAUAGAUAAUGGCAGUGCUGCUGACUGUGGUGAAGACUACAGUGCUGAUAAUAUUCUUGACUCCUUGUCUGAUAGUAAAGAAAAUGCUGAUGCAGAAUUGAAACAACUUCCAGAUCAGCUUACAGAACAUACUGUGACUGGAGAAAGAGUUGGAAAUAGUUUGGAUGCUUCAUCAUCAGACUUCACUGUAAUACAGGAUACUGAAGAACCACCCUUGGAGCCAGAAAAUGAGAAAAUACUCGACAUUUUGGGGGAAACUUGUAAGUCUGACCCACUAAAAGAAGAAGGUUCCGACCUGGAGCAGCCAUUUUCACAGGAUGCAAGUAGCGUGGGGCCAAGCAAAAAGCUUGCAGAGGAAGAGGACAAUUUUGUCACUGCUCAUCCAGAGGAGGAUGCAUUAGAUUUGGACAACGAGUCAACACAAGCAAUUGCCAAGAAGGCAGAAAAGCACUUAGAUCUAGUGAAAAGGGAGAAAAGCGAGCAGAAAGUAGAUGAAGAGAAUAUGGACUCUGACACUGUAGUGGUAGAGAACCUAAAUGAUCAGAGUAGCAAAGCAUCAGAAAAUGCAGAAGCUUCUAGCGAGGAAGCCCAGGAAACACCAGAGAAAGUCUCAAGCCCCGAAACCAAAGAAAGCAAAGAAGACGUUAAGAAAAGUGAAGAUGAAGGUUAUAAUGAAGAUUCACCUGCUACUAAAGAGUCCUCUACCAAUGAGGGCGGUGAUCAGAAAAUGAGCUCUGUUGAGGACGACACAGAUAUAAAGCCAACCUUAAAGGAUGACAAAGGUCGUGUUAGUAGCAGUUCUGGGAGGAAUUUGUGGGUUAGUGGACUUUCUUCAACUACUAGAGCCACAGACUUGAAGAACCUUUUCAGCAAAUAUGGAAAGGUUGUUGGAGCCAAAGUGGUAACUAAUGCCCGGAGUCCAGGGGCACGGUGUUAUGGUUUUGUUACAAUGUCUACAUCUGAUGAAGCCACAAAAUGUAUUAACCACCUUCACCGAACAGAAUUACAUGGAAGAAUGAUCUCAGUAGAAAAAGCCAAAAAUGAACCUGCUGGAAAGAAACCUGACCGCAAAGACUGUGAAAUUAAAAAGGAAAAAUCAGGCAGCGGGGAAAGACAUCAUUCCACUGAUUCCCGGCCUGAAAGAACUGUGAUUAAGAGUGAGAAAAGAGAUGAUAAAAGGUCUGAAGAUAGGAAAGAUGAAAAAGACUAUGACGAACUGAAAUCUGGGUCAGCAGAUCGUUCUAGAGCCACCAAGUCAGGAAGCAGAGGGACAGAACGAACAGUUGUAAUGGACAAGUCAAAGGGGGAACCUGUCAUUAGUGUGAAAACCACAACCAGAUCUAAAGAGCGGAGCUCCAAAAGUCAAGAUCGAAAAUCAGAAAGCAAAGAAAAGAGAGAUAUUUUGUCGUUUGAUAAAAUCAAAGAACAACGGGAGCGGGAACGACAGAGGCAGCGGGAACGAGAAAUCAGAGAAACUGAAAGGCGUAGAGAACGAGAGCAGCGGGAACGGGAGCAGCGCAUUGAUGCCUUUCGAGAACGGAAAGAGAAAGCCAGGCUUCAGCGGGAACGUGUGCGACUUGAAUGUCAGAGGCAGCGUCUUGAGCGAGAGCGAAUGGAGAGGGAGAGACUAGAAAGGGAGAGAAUUCGUGUAGAACAAGAAAGGAGAAAAGAACAGGAACGGAUCCAUAGGGAGAGAGAGGAGCUUCGGCGCCAGCAGGAACAGUUACGCUAUGAACAGGAGCGACGGCCUGCUCUGAGAAGACCUUAUGAUGUAGAUUCAAGAAGAGAUGAUUCAUAUUGGCCAGAAGGAAAACGAGCUGCUCUGGAUGACAGAUACCGAUCUGAAUUUAGCCGACAAGACCGUUUUCAUGAUUUUGACCACAGGGACCGAAGCCGAUACCAGGACCAUUCAAUAGACAGCACUAUGCAGAUGAUCGCCAUGGAGGACCAGAGCGCCAUGGGCGGGACUCACGAGAUGGCUGGGGCAGUUAUGGUUCUGACAAGAGAAUGAGUGAGGGAAGGGGGAUGCCUCCUCCACCACCCAGGGGUGGCCGUGAGUGGGGAGAUCAUACUCAAAGGAUAGAGGAUCAUCAGGAUCGUUCUUGGCAGGGCAACGUGGAUGGAGGAAUGAUGGGCCGAGAUCAUGAGAGGUGGCAAGGUGGUGAGAGAGGCAUGUCUGGUCACUCAGGACCAGGCCAUAUGGUGAAUCGGGGAGGAAUGUCGGGGUAAGAAGUUUUGUCCGACGAUAGUUGAUAUGUUCCUGCUUCUUCACUUGCUCUCCCUUUUAAACACGCAAUCUCUCUUUUGCAUGUUAGUUCAACUUGCUUGGUUGAAUGUUUUGAAAACAAAUCAGAUAUUUCCAACUUAUGCAAAUAACCUUCUUCAGUUUCCUGGAAUUCAGUGUGUGUUUGUAGUGCUUUUCUCAUCUGGUGCAUCUGAUCAAGAGGGGAAAAAAAUCAAGAGAGAUGUAAAUGCUGCAGAAUCGUACUGAACAAUGUUGCAAUGAAAACUUAAAAAAAAAACACUUCAAGGAAAACAGUUUGAAUUUGUUCCUAGGCGUGGCGGCUUUGCGCAAGGUGGAAACUCCCAGGGCCACAUGAUGCAGGGUGGUGCAAUGCCAGGCAGAGGAUUUGGAGGACAGGACAGAGCCAACAGAGGCAGUCACCCUCACUUCACCCGCCGAUAUUAAAUAGUAACUUGUUGUUUUGGUGUUAGGUGGCGGCAGUAUUGAGUUCUUUUAGCCAGGGUUCUCUUGGACUUGUGGGUCUUUUUUUGAAACUGCCACCAUAUUGUAGCUCAAUACAAUGUGAACUCACUUGGGUUUUUUUGUAAUAAAUGUGUUUUUGUUCAUACCAUUUCUUUAAAGAGUUUCUGUUAAUGAAGCAUUCCAUUUUCCAUUAAUAAAAGUUUACAGUUACUGC